This is a non-coding RNA of Paramormyrops kingsleyae, 637 nucleotides long. The record is from RefSeq and is a predicted model, not a curated record. NCBI's taxonomy places the organism in Eukaryota, Metazoa, Chordata, Actinopteri, Osteoglossiformes, Mormyridae.
UGCUGUUAACUUGGUGAAUGCGAGUCAAUUAUACCUCCAUAUCCAGUCGUGAAUAUUUGGGAUUUUCCAGUGCCCAACUUUUUUGAAACUCCUUCUGCAUCUAAAUAUCAACAAAAACUCCCGACCAGAGUUGAUGACGGGAAUGGAGGAUGACCAGCAAUUUCCCCACCACAGACAUGCUCGACACCUGCAAAACUACACCAACUAAACAAAAGGCAGUCUCCAGUGGAAGACUUGGUAUCUUCAAUUUGCUUAUAGGGCGUAAGUUUGCACACUGAUAGACUGGUGUCCCAUCUGGGGUGUCCACUGGUUUGGAUCUGAUACUUCCUGGGACAGGCCUGAGGUUCACUGGGACCCUGCAUUAAAUAUGUGCGUAUGGAAGUUAGAUGGAUACAUUUUAAUGUCAUAGGGAUAAAUAAAAAUAUGCUUUAGAUGUUAUCUUAAAAAUUAAUUAAAUCUUUACUAAGAGGAUCAUAUGGUGAAGACUGAGGACAGAUUGUCAAACAUCAUAGGCAUGUUUGGAUCCAAUACAUGGCAGAAUAUAAUACUGAAGAAAACACUCUAGGUAUGAACAGGUGGAAUUUUAUGGUAUGCAUGAAUCAAUAACUGUCACGUUAUGAUUUUUAUUUUGUUUUUA